GACGAACGCUGGCGGCGUGCUUAACACAUGCAAGUCGAACGGAAAGGCCCUGCUUUUGUGGGGUGCUCGAGUGGCGAACGGGUGAGUAACACGUGAGUAACCUGCCCUUGACUUUGGGAUAACUUCAGGAAACUGGGGCUAAUACCGGAUAGGAGCUCCUGCUGCAUGGUGGGGGUUGGAAAGUUUCGGCGGUUGGGGAUGGACUCGCGGCUUAUCAGCUUGUUGGUGGGGUGGUGGCUUACCAAGGCUUUGACGGGUAGCCGGCCUGAGAGGGUGACCGGCCACAUUGGGACUGAGAUACGGCCCAGACUCCUACGGGAGGCAGCAGUGGGGAAUAUUGCACAAUGGGCGGAAGCCUGAUGCAGCAACGCCGCGCGCGGGAUGACGGCCUUCGGGUUGUAAACCGCUUUCGCCUGUGACGAAGCGUGAGUGACGGUAAUGGGUAAAGAAGCACCGGCUAACUACGUG
RNAcentral lists this ribosomal RNA (468 nucleotides) under uncultured bacterium. RNAcentral's name for it is "partial 16S ribosomal RNA". It matches the Rfam family "Bacterial small subunit ribosomal RNA", at positions 28 to 507 of the family's 1533-position model. The record is from RNAcentral.